This 264-nucleotide unclassified non-coding RNA is filed under the name plant metagenome. Its description in RNAcentral is "partial contains small subunit ribosomal RNA, internal transcribed spacer 1, and 5.8S ribosomal RNA". The record is from RNAcentral.
UUUCCGUAGGUGAACCUGCGGAAGGAUCAUUAUUGAAACUUCAUCCGGGGCGCCGCGGCCCUCAGCACCGGUGGAAACGCCGUGCUGCGGGGGCCGCGCGUGCACUCGUCCAAACCAAACCCCUGUGAACCUUACGGGAUGGCCCGGGUUAGCGCCCGGUGCCGUUCCGCUUUAUACAAACACUUAUCAAAGAAUGAACUGAAAGCGGUCUGACCGCUGGAUAACAAACUGAAACAACUUUCAACAACGGAUCUCUUGGCUCUC